RNA transcript from Homo sapiens (human), 2041 nucleotides. It is a transcript of the gene named family with sequence similarity 86 member J, pseudogene, with no coding region annotated. The transcript is spliced from 5 exons. The record is from RefSeq and is marked provisional. Lineage: Eukaryota; Metazoa; Chordata; Mammalia; Primates; Hominidae.
AACACUGCGGCCCCGCCCACGUCAUGGCGCCCGAGGAGAACGCUGGGACCUAACUCUUGCUGCAGAGUUUGCAGCGCCGCUUUCUGGCGGCGCGCGCGCUGCGCUCCUUCCCCUGGCAGGUGGGCGGCGGGGCGAGCGGAGAGGCCCGCAGGGCUCGCGGGAGUCCAGGGGCAGACGGGAUGGGUCUCCGUGCAGAAGCCCCCGACACGCCCGCCACAGCUUAGAAGCAAAAUUAACAGACUCAUCAGAUUCUGAGCUUCUGCGGGAUAUUUUGCAGAAGACUGUGAAGCAUCCUGUGUGUGUGACGCACCCGCCGUCAGUCAAGUAUGCCCGGUGCUUUCUCUCAGAACUCAUCAAAAAGACGUGCUGUAUUGCCCAGAAGCCAUCGUGUUGCUGGUCGGGGUCCUGCUGAGGCUGGCUGCCUGCCGGGAGCACCAGCGGGCUCCUGAGGUCUAUGUGGCCUUUACUGUCCGCAACCCAGAGACAUGCCAGCUGUUCACCACCGAGCUAGGCCAGGCCAGGAUCAGAUGGGAAGUGGAACCUCGUCAUGACCAGAAACUGUUUCCCUAUGAAGAGCACUUGGAGAUGGCAAUGCUGAACCUCACACUGUAGGACUCACACACGACUCCAAUGGGAUUGUGAGAAUCAAGUCACUCUCAAGGGAAGAGGUUUCAUAUGGGAAAGCUGAUAAAACUUUCACUGGACUGGAAUGUUUGGAGAAUGUUAAUUUCCAAAUCAGGAACUACAAACUGCCCUCUAAUAAGACAUCGGCUAUCUAAGCGUGUGGGUGCUCCCUUUCUGCCAGCAGUUCUGGUUCUUAAGGAAAUCGCCAUCACUCAGACAUGAAAACUCUGGCUCCAAAAAUAGCAUUUUCUUUGUGCAAAUAAAAACGUGUGUAUCAAGUAUGUGGACACACUCGGUUCCUCACAAAGCCAAGCCUGCUGCAGCUGCCACAUCCCUGGACACACUUGGUUCCUCACAAAGCCAAGACUGCUGCAGCUGCCACAUCCGCGGACACACUCAGUUCUUCACAAAGCCAAGCCCGCUGCAGCUGCCACAUCCCUGGGCUUACGAUGCAGCAGGUGCUUUUUUCAAGACAGGAAUCAAAAUGUUAGGAACACGGCAGAAAGGUGACACCUGGAGACCAAACGCAGGAUAAGGAGUACUGCAGAGGUCACAGGGAAGUCACAGAACAGUAAUACGCUAGCAGGGGCAUGGGGCAUGAAGAACAGAAGAAGAGAGGAAGUGUUUCCGAGCCUCCGGAAAAGAAAUCAGAGCCAAGCACAGCUUCCCGGGUCACAGAACCAAUUCAUUCACCAGGCGGCACCACUGCCGUCAUUUCAGCUUCUGGCCACUGGGAGGCGCUGCUCAAAAGGGUUUGCCCUGAGACUCCGAGAAGAAGCUGCGGGAAGGACAGCAGGGGUCCCGGGGUUUUAGCCUCUGGCCCAGGAGUUGUAUGUCCAUAACCAAAGGGAGCACAGUCUGCACCCAGCUCUCAUCCCAUCGGAGCUGCUGCGACUCCCGCAGGUUCUUCCAAAACUGGUUUAGCUUGCCUGCAGGAUCAGGAAAGUUUGAGAAAAGCAUCUGCAAAAAAAUAAAGAGCAGAGCUUACCUCAUUGCCUGUCCCCACCCCAUCCCAGGUCACCACCUGGCUGACCCCAGGUCCCCGACCCAACAACAACCCCUCCCAAGUUCCUAACUCUCUCACUUGGACUCGAGACUCUUCACGCCCCAGCAGCGCUCCGCCUCCAACUUGACAUCAUGCUUUCUGGAAACUUCCCCGUAUGUCCCACUUUCCCACACUUGGUGCCCUGGAGCACCUCCCGGCCUCUAACGUGCUGUAUGUUCCCCUGCGAGCACCCUCCUCUUGGCCUCUGGCCAAGUCCCACCCAUCUGUGGGUAACAAGGGGGUGUCGGUGUUCUUUUCAGCCUUGCUAAACUCUCUGAAUCAAGGAUCACAAACUACAGCCUGCAGGCCAAAUCCAGCCCACAGCCUGUGUUUGUAAAUAAAGUUUUAUUGGAACAAAGCCACACCCCUUAA